CUAUUAAAGAAAAAAUAUGAAUUGAAAAGAAAUAUUAAAAUUGAUUUCAAUAUAUUUUCAAGCGCAAAUCUCGGCGAAAGAUAGUAGGACGCAACAAAGUAAAAUAAAUAAGUAGCGUGGAGUCGUGUUUUGUGCGAGUGUAUGCGUGACCCGCGCUUGAGUGUAUGAAUUCUGAGAAAAAUUCACGGCAUCACAGAUACCAACGAGUAGAUUAAAAACGGCAUGGAAAGAAGUGCUAUAAAUUUUGACAAUUGAGUUAAAUAACUUUUGCCAAAUAUUUUAAAUACUAAAGUUUAAUUAUAAUAAAUAUGAUGCAAAUAUUACAAGAAAAAUGUUAUAAUAUAUAUAUUUUUGUGUAAUUGCGUUGCGGUGCAUAUAAAAUACCACCAAAAUUGCAAGUACAUAAAUAUAUUGAAGCCAAGUCUUCAGUCAAAUAGGCAGGGUGGCAGGCAUUUACGACAGGAAAGACGCGACAAGAUUGCAAGAAAAACAACACCAGCGGUAUUAAAUAUAAUCUGCAGUAUAAAGAAGGUGGAGUUGUAGCAUCAAUUAUAUUUAAAAUAAAAUAAACAUUUUAAAUAUAAUAAGUAUAAUUUUUAUUUUAAAAUUGGUGCUCAAAGUAAUAUCUUAUAAUAUAUAAAUAAAAUAAUAAAAUUUUGUUAAUAAAAUGUAUCCUGCACCGGUGCGUCACCCUUCGGCUGGGGGACCACCACCCCAGGGACCCUUAAAGUUCACCAUCGUCGAUACACUUGAACGCAUCAAAGAAGAGUUUAAUUUUAUACAAGCACAAUAUCAUUCGUA
Molecule: long non-coding RNA, 801 nt
Organism: Teleopsis dalmanni
Lineage: Eukaryota; Metazoa; Arthropoda; Insecta; Diptera; Diopsidae
Exons: 3
Source: RefSeq, a predicted model, not a curated record